This 844-nucleotide long non-coding RNA is filed under the name Acromyrmex echinatior (Panamanian leafcutter ant). Its description in RNAcentral is "uncharacterized LOC105145760, transcript variant X4". The record is from RNAcentral. Lineage: Eukaryota; Metazoa; Arthropoda; Insecta; Hymenoptera; Formicidae.
AUCAAGUGUGAAUCCAGCAAAAGGUAAGAACCCCCGUCCGUAUGCGGUCGUGAUGCAGUCAACUUCAGGUGGUAAAAGAGAGCGGAUAUUUCUUUCUGGGCGCUUAUUUCAAGUGAUUGAAAGUGCUUCCUCGACCGCUCGACGUGUAUCGUUAAGGAACAAUCUGGAUAAUAUGUAACUUUUAAUAAAUUAUCAUUCUUGAAAUGCCAACGUUUCGUGAACCUUGCAGUCCACUUCAUCAGGACAAGGAGCAGCUUGGUAGAAGGAGCCUGAUACUGUACGCAGGAGAAACCUUUCAGCCUCUUUUCAAAUAGAAAAAGGAAUUAUGCGUUCUCAGUGUGUAUCCUUAAGAAGAUAAAAGACGUGGAUCAGAUAAUCGCAAAUCAAAGAUCAUAAAAGAGAAGAUUUUAUUAACCUUGCCCGGGGAUAACGGAUGGUUAUAAUUCGUUUGGAAUCGUGGAACAGUUCCGAAAAUAACAUCAAAAUCUGUUUGCAAACUUUUGCAAGGAUCAUCAUUGCGUUUUCUGGUCAGCGAUCAGAUUAUCUCUUAACUUCUAGAUUUUGCCGUCUCGGAACAUUUUAUGUUCCUUAUAUGAUUAUACAUAUAUGGUGCCACAUAUAAUUAUAUCUCACAUAUAAUUACAUACUAUUAUAUACGUCGCUCUUCCUGUCAGUUCCUUUGUAGUUGCUCGAAAAGAGCAAUAGACGGCUUUAUUACUACAUUUUGAGAAAGAAAAAGGAUUGAUGUAUGGAUCUGGCAUGCAGAUUAGCAUAAAACAGUUAUAAGAAUAGCAGUCCCUACAUUCCAUGGCGCGAAGCAUCAUUUUUUUUAAUAGUUGGACAU